CAGGUAAAACGCCUCCCUCCACAAGGUUCUUCAAUUCUGCCACAAUGAUGUGAAAUGAGAACUCCCUGAUACCGCCCAUCAGUGUUUUCUACCUGAAUCAUAUUCAUCUCGGUGGCAGGCUAUAAAACAAGAGCUACAGUGUACCUGGACAGCAAGAAGCAUGCGCCCCCACAACGGUGUCUGGAGAGCAGAGGGAGGGCUGCAGCCUUUCCUUCCCUGCCAGAUCCUCCCUGCAGUAACACGCAGACACACCCCCCAGCCCUCAGUACUUCGAUGGUCACACACCGUCCCCCACGCCCACCGGGACUGAUUCCCAGACAGGAGGUGCAGUGUACCCAGAUAACGGACAGAGGGGCUGCUUCUAAACCUUGGAGGCCACACCCACUUGCUAAGGUCUAACGAUGCAGUGGCCAGAUGCCUCACUUUUUCGUUAGUCUGCCAGCGUUUGUUUAUGUGUUUCUUUACCGUGACUCUUCACUACAUUAGAAUUUCCACUCAGUCAAGAAUUUUUUACCUGUUCUGUUCAUGUUCAAACCUCCUUGGUACACGGAAGGUGUCCAUAAACAGAGCUGAGUUAAAUAGUACCUGUUAUGUGGCAAAUAUUCACAAAGGGGUGUCAGGAAAGAGAGAUGGUGUGAAGACUUCCAGAGCUUAUAGUAGAAAUCUCAGAGAGUAGACCUCCUUUAGACUGAAAAAUUAACUUAUAAUCUAAUAUUCAGUGUAAUGACAGCCACGCUUCAUCUUCUAAAGCAGCUUUCUUGAGGUAUGUGAUUCAAACGCCGUGCAGCCCGUCCAUUAAAGUCUGUUCUUAAGGAGGCUUCAGUGCAUUCAUGAAUGUGUGCAACCGCCACUGCUCAGUUUUACAGCAGUGUAAACGCUUUCAGACAGAACAGCUGAAAUAUGGACUCUAACAGUUCUAUAACGCAAAGAAAGUGUAGCUAAAACUUGCUAUUUUAUUAGAGAAUAACUUGUGUGUGUAAUUGUUGCUAGUGGCUUAAAAGUUUCAAUUUAGGGUUUUCUAAAUAAUAAAGACUGUGUGGAAACCAGGA
This is a long non-coding RNA of Mesocricetus auratus (golden hamster), 1049 nucleotides long. RefSeq lists it as uncharacterized. The transcript is spliced from 2 exons. Lineage: Eukaryota; Metazoa; Chordata; Mammalia; Rodentia; Cricetidae. The record is from RefSeq and is a predicted model, not a curated record.